Molecule: long non-coding RNA, 8469 nt
Filed under: Citrus x clementina
Lineage: Eukaryota; Viridiplantae; Streptophyta; Magnoliopsida; Sapindales; Rutaceae
Description: Citrus clementina (C. clementina) long non-coding RNA (CCLE_LNC003871)
Source: RNAcentral
UUUUCGCCCAGCUGAACCAAGAAAGAUAUUGGAGAUGCCAUUGGGGGUGACUAACAUUUCUGUUCCUGAUUCAACAUCUGGAAAGCUGAGCCGUUCUCUAUUGGAUAUUGACUUGAAUGUACCAGAUGAGAGAGUCCUAGAGGAUUUGGCUUCUCGAAGCUCUGCUCAGGAUAUAGUUGCUGCAUCGGACCUUACCAAUAACCUUGAUGGGUCACGCUGUGAAGUGAUGGGUUCUACAUCUGUCCGGGGUUCUGGUGGACUUGAUCUUGAUUUGAAUAGAGCUGAGGAGUUUAUUGAUAUCAGUAAUUACUCUACUAGCAACGGGAAUAAAACAGAUGUGUUAGUUCAAACUGGCACAUCAUCUGGUGGUCUUUCAAAUGGUGAGGUGAAUGUUUGCAGGGAUUUUGAUUUGAAUGACGGACCAGUUGAUGACAUGAAUGCUGAACCAACAGUCUUUCAUCAGCAUCCCAGAAAUGUACAAGCUCAAGCACCUAUUUCUGGCCUUCGGAUAAGUAAUGCAGAAACAGGAAACUUUUCAUCAUGGUUGCCUAGAGGGAACACUUAUUCAACCAUCACAGUUCCCUCAGUCUUGCCUGAUAGAGGAGAGCAACCUUUUCCAUUUGCUCCUGGCGUGCAUCAGAGAAUGUUGGCUCCCUCCACUAGUGGCUCUCCUUUCAGUCCUGAUGUCUUCAGGGGACCGGUGUUGUCAUCAUCUCCUGCAGUUCCCUUUCCAUCUACCCCCUUUCAAUAUCCCGUCUUUCCUUUUGGGUCAAGCUUUCCCCUUCCAUCAGCCACCUUUUCUGUUGGUUCAACAACAUAUGUAGAUUCAUCAUCCAGUGGGAGACUAUGCUUUCCUGCUGUUAAUUCCCAAUUAAUGGGUCCUGCAGGUGCUGUACCUUCUCAUUUCACUAGGCCUUAUGUAGUGAGUAUCUCUGAUGGUAGCAACAGUGCUAGUGCUGAAAGCAGUUUGAAAUGGGGUAGACAGGUUCUAGACUUAAAUGCAGGGCCUGGCGUCCCAGACAUAGAAGGUAGAAAUGAGACACCGCCUCUUGUGCCGAGGCAACUGUCUGUUGCCGGUGCACAGGUCCUACUGGAGGACCAAGCAAGAAUGUAUCAGAUGGCAGGUGGCCAUUUGAAGAGGAGGGAACCUGAAGGAGGAUGGGAUGGUUACAAGCGGCCCUCAUGGCACUAGGGAUGGCUAAUGUGACAAUUUGCUGACCCAUGGAAUAUUUUAAGUUCAUGGUAUGUGUCCUUGACUGGUGCAAUGUUUUAUCUUUGGCAUAUUGUUUAGGACUGAAAUGCUCCUCUUUAUGCUGAAUUGCUGAUGACAUUUAUCUUGGCACUAGCCAUGUUCUCUUUGGCAUGUUCAUUGUCUAGCAUCCUUAUCACGAUUGUCUUGUUCUGUUGCAACCCCACAAAAAAAAAAGGGAAAAAAAAGUAACUGAUAUCAAUGGUAUUUGUCCGUUUUCAACAUUUUUUAUUCUGUUUUUGGCUCCCCCAUUUCAUUUCCGGAUAUGUAUGAACUCUUUUCCAAAGAUUUUUCAUUUUGGGAUUGAAUUACACGCAUACAUUUUAUGGAUUUCCCUUGCUCUCUUUUGGAUGCUUUGUUCUCUUUCCCCUUUGAUGUUCCUUUUUCUUUCUCCAGUUCUUAAAGGAUGGCCGUUGACUUAACCCCUGAGGUCAGUUAAUUUGUGCGCCUGGAGGUUGUGUGGUAAGUGAGUUAUUGAUGUAGUUCAUUGUCUUCAACCCCAUCCUCCUGCUCCACCAACCAACCGUAGUAUAAAAGAAUCUGUUGUGGUCUUCGUCGCUGAAUUUUUUCCGGGUGGUAUUUGUGCAGAGCGGUUUCCUGUUUGUACAUAUUUUAAUUUUUGGAAGCAUGCAUUUUGCUAAGACAUUUAUGGUUGGUGCUUGUAGUGGUGUUUAUGCAUCAGCUAUAUAAACCAUUUGGAUCUAGACCAACAGUCAAUAUCCAAUGCUUCUUGUAAUGGAGCUUGGAUUGAUCUGCUUUAAGCAGAAGAUGUACUUUAAUUUAUCUUUCUUUCCAGUCUCCCCUUUUGAACCCAGUUUUGUUAGUCACAUGAACAUCCAUCUUCUGUGGUUUCCUGCAAGUUAAUCAUGUAGUGUUAUUAUCAGCCCCGAUUUUAGUCCUUAAUCCUUAUGGUUUUCUAAGUUCCCACCCAUCUUAGCCAGUAAGAUUCCAAACUCAAUUUACAUUCUACUUGAUCAUCAUUUUGCCUUUUGCAUACCUGGCAUUUUUUUGUUCACCGGUGGCAUUUGUACAUAUAGGUCUAUGCCUUGUUGUUUCGGCUAUUGCACUCUCUCUAUACUUAAUUUAUCAGAAUGCCUGUUACUGAAAUUAGUGUAUAACAAAUUUUAUAAAGUUUUGAAAAUUUGUACUGUAUUGUUGCUGAAAUUUCAUCUUAUUCUUUGUGGCCUUAAAGGGACAAUGCAACAAUCGGAGCCACAGGCACAGCCCAUGGAUACUUCAACUGCCUAUAAUAUAGUGGUGCCCCAACUGGUGCUUAUGCAAAUCAAUAUUAUGGGUCACAGAGCAAUGCUGGAAAAUAACAAGAGGCUGUGGUUGAUUAUCUGUACAUUAGAGAACCAUUGACGUACAUACGGUUGUAUCUCUAACGCUCGCUUCUGUUUAAUGAAAAUUUGAAUGUUAUAUGACCAGCAUUGCUGCCCUCAAUUUUUGUAAGCAAAGUGGAGGUUGAAAAUGAAAAUAGGAAAGAUCGAGAAUGCCAAUCCUUUUUCUGUUUUUCCACUGGAAAAUUGUCGUUCUGAUUUGGCAUAAUUGGUUGCAAUCAUCAGAGCAAUCACAUCCGCAAACGGCAAAAGAUUGAAAACGACACUGCAAAGUUCAGUUCAACUUAAAAUUAUAAAUAAAAAUAAUAAUUACUAAACCACGCGCAUGCCGUGGUUAAAGUUUAUAUAUAUCGGUAGAAAAAUUAGAACAGCAAUCGGUUAAGUUAAUGAUUAAAAAAGAAAAAAGAAAAAAGAAAAAAGAAAAAAGAAAAAAGAAAUAUAAAUUUUUUUAAAAAAAAAGGCAAAACAAAACCACAUUCCAAAAACGAAAAAAGAGAUCGAGGGGCGAAAUUUGCCAAAUUUGUGAUUAAGCUGACGUGGAGCUGCCAUACCAAUAACAACUCACCAAGUAAAACACGUACGCCUUUCCUCUUUGCUGUCUCUCUCUUCUCUUCGAUUGUUCUUCAUUUUUUGCCCUCUUUCGCUGCUUUCUCUCUCUAGAUUCUCUCUUUCGAUUCUCUCAAUCUCUUUGCUUACCUAGGUCAAUCUCUGGCUCUUUUUCUGGAUCUCAGUUCCAAUUAGAUCGCUUUGUUUGUUUGAAAUCAAUUGGUUACUUUUUCCCCAAAAAAAAAAAAAUUAGGGUUCGGAUUGAUGGUUGGUGAUCUAGGGCUCGUGAAUAGGUGAAAAAAAGAGGGUUGUGACUGUAAGAAGCGGAAUUGAGGAUUGAUGGUACUCAAUAUCGGGCAAAAUGUUGCAAGGGUAUCAUGCGUAUGCGUAUGCAUGGAUGGAGGGCAGGUGAAGAGGAAGGGGAUAGAAAACGGGAAGGUCGUCGACGGCACAUGUGGACUGUCCCUCCACGUGACUCUGCGAUUUUAGCUUCAGUUGCUGAUGGUGGUUCUGCCUCUCCUUCCUCUUCUUCUUCUUUGUCCUCUUCUCCCAAUUCAGUUACUUUCUUUUCUCAGGUAAUUGUUCGAAUACUGAUUUUUUUCGGCCUGCUUGAUUUUUUCGUUUUGAUGGAUCAAUAAGUGAGGGAUUGAAUUGGUUUUCCUUUUUUCUUCAUUAUUAUUAUUAUUAUUAUUUUGGGUGGGGGAAUGGAAUUCUGUUGGGGUUUGAUUGAUUUGUGUGGAAACGUGUGAAAUUGAUCUAAUCUUUGUAGACAUGCUAAAAUUAGGGUAGUUCUGAAAUUUUUUAGCAAUUUUUAAUGUUUUGAUCAUUUGGGGCUUUUAUAGCGUGGAGUUUUUAAGCGUAUGCAAUGGUUAUUUUUCUUCAAAGUUCUUGUUAAAUUUAAAAGAUUUCUAUUCUCAAAACUGUUAUUUUACUCGUUCUCAACGAAGAAAGAAGGAGGUCUUGAAGAUCGCUCUUUUUAGGGGGGAAAAAUUAAUUGAAUGGUUUUCUCAUUCCAAUUCUGAGUUGGUGGCUGAUUAUCUGUCUACACGGUUUUCAUGUGUGAGAUUAUGAACAUUAAUGAUACACUUGCAAUCUCUAAAUUGGGCAAGUUGUAGGAGGGACAUUUAAUUGCAUAUUGAAACAUUUGAUUACCUGAACAACAUGAUGUUGUUUAUCUGAUAGCCAAUUGUUACUAGCAUAUUAUUUUGUUAGUAGAUGUAUUUUUCUUGGAUGACAGUGAUGAUGAUGAUGAUUAAUGGGAAGAAUUGUCAGUGGUAGUGUCGUUUAAUGUUUAAACGUAGGUUUCUGCAACUAAAGUUUUUGAAUGCCUUUACACCAGGCUUCAUAGUUUAUUACCAUGUUAAUGGAUUGAGUAUUUAUUACAGCAUUUUCCAUUUUAUUGUGUGGAGCCAUUUUUUGUUUGACCAAAUUUUGUCAAUUUCUCCAUAGGAUGGACGGAAAAUUAGUGUUGGUGAUUGCGCACUUUUCAAACCGCCCCAGGAUUCCCCUCCCUUCAUUGGAAUAAUUCGUUCACUGACUGCUGGUAAAGAAAAUAAGUUAACUUUAAGUGUGAAUUGGCUUUAUCGACCUGCUGAAGUUAAACUUGGCAAAGGCUUCCUGUUGGAGGCGGCGCCAAACGAAAUCUUUUAUUCCUUUCAUAAGGAUGAGAUUCCUGCUGCUUCCUUACUUCACCCGUGUAAAGUUGCAUUCCUUCCAAAAGGUAUUGAACUUCCAUCAGGGAUUGGUUCUUUUGUGUGCCGGAAAGUAUAUGACAUCACAAACAAGUGUUUAUGGUGGCUAACUGAUCAAGAUUAUAUUAAUGUGAGUUUUGAAUACUUUGCUCUUCUCAUCUUUCUAUGUUUAGCUAUAGGUUGUUGCUUUUCCUGGUAAUCUGUAUUUUUUAACCGCUUCAGGAACGACAGGAAGAAGUAGAUCAACUUUUAUAUAAGACGCAUAUAGAAAUGCAUGCAACAGUACCCUCAGGUGGCCGUUCCCCAAAACCAAUGAAUGGUCCAACAUCAACGUCUCAGCUAAAACCCGGUUCGGAUGGUGCACAGAAUAGUGCCUCUUUUCCUUCACAAGUGAAGGGGAAGAAAAGGGAGAGAGGAGAUCAGAGUUCUGAGCCAGUUAAACGAGAACGAUCCUCAAAAAUGGAGGAUGGGAAUUCUGGACACAGUAGAACAGAAACUAAUUUAAAAACUGAGAUUGCAAAAAUUACAGAGAAAGGUGGACUUGUAGAUUAUGAUGGGGUUGAGAAAUUGGUGCAGCUCAUGGUUCCUGAGAGAAAUGAUAAGAAAAUUGACCUCGUCUGCCGGUCAUUGCUUGCUGGUGUGGUGGCAGCAACAGAUAAAUUUGAUUGCCUUAACUGGUUUGUGCAGUUAAGGGGUUUGCUUGUGUUUGAUGAAUGGCUGCAGGAGGUCCAUAAAGGGAAGAUAGGUGAUGCUGGCAGCCCCAGGGAUGGUGAUAAAUCAGUUGAGGAAUUUCUUUUAAUUUUGCUUCGUGCGCUUGAUAAGCUGCCAGUAAAUCUUAAUGCCUUACAAAUGUGUAACAUCGGAAAGUCUGUGAAUCAUUUGCGGACACACAAGAACGUGGAAAUUCAGAAAAAAGCUAGGAGUUUGGUUGACACAUGGAAGAAACGUGUUGAGGCAGAAAUGGAUGCUAGACCCCGGCUGCCUGAAGUUCCUCACAGUGGGAACAGACAGACAGGUGCAUCCACUGAGGUUGCCAUAAAGAGCCUUGUAACACAACCAGCUUCUUCUAAAACUGGUGCAGUAAAGCUUUGCCAAGGGGAUGCUCCUACAAAGUCUGCGUUUUCCUCUCCAGUGUCUGUGAAAUCAGCUCCAUUGCCUGCAUCAGGGAGUACAGAUGCAAAAGAUGGACAGCCCCGAAAUGCUGCUUCUGCUACUGGUACCACUGACCUUCCUUCUACUCCUGCAAAGGAUGAGAAAAGCAGCAGUUCAAGUCAAUCCCACAACAACGGUCAAUCUUGUGUGGGUGACCAUGCAAAAACUGGGGGAUUAUCUGGGAAGGAGGAUGCUAGGAGCUCUGCCACUGUUUCAAUGACUCUGAAUAAGAUCUCGGUUGGUUCUUCACGGUCUCGGAAAUCAGUCAAUGGUUACCCUAGUUCCACACCAGCUGGGGUUCAAAGAGAAACUGUGUCAAGCAAAAAUGCUACCUUGCAUAGAAAUUCAGCUUCAGAUAGACCAUCUCAGCCAAGUCUGACAUGUGAAAAGGCACUUGAUGUACCUGUGGUGGAGGGGGCCAAUCCCAAAAUAAUAGUCAAGAUUCCAAAUCGAGGUCGAAGUCCAGCACAAAAUUCCAGUGGAGGAUCUGUUGAAGACACUUCAGUCACCAACAGCCGAGCAUCUUCUCCUGUGCUUCCAGAGAAGCAGAACCAAUUUGAUCGUAACUUCAAGGAAAAGAAUGAUGCCCUUCGAGCUGAUAUUUCUUCCAAUAUGAAUAGUGAGCCUUGGCAAAGCAAUGUUAACAAGGAUGCAGCUGCUUGUCCAGACGAGGGAAGUGGGUCACCUGCUGUUCUGCCCGAUGAGCAGGGGAGUAAGACUGGUGAUAAUUGUAGGAAAGUGGUUGAAGAUUUAGAAGAUAAUUCCUUACCGCCAGGAUAUGAGUUUAAAGAUGUAAAAUUGCACGAGUCUUCAUUCAGUUCUAUGAAUGCUCUAAUUGAAAGUUGUGUCAAGUAUUCUGAAGCAAAUGUUUCUGCGCCUGCUGGAGAUGACAUUGGAAUGAACCUUCUAGCUAGUGUGGCUGCUGGAGAGAUGUCCAAAUCUGAUGUAGUUUCACCAGUUGGUUCUCCGCCAAGGACCCCCAUUCACGAGCCUCUUUGUGAUGAUAAUGAUUCAAGAGUGAAAUCAUUUCCUGGAGAUCAUUCUACUGAUAGUACUGAUGACGAGCAUGAGAAGCAGGGUAUUGAUCGUAAUUUGUGGGCUAAAAAUUCUGACAGUAAUCAAGACAAACCUGCAGGAGGUCUAACAGGACACAUCAGUACUUCCCCUGUGGAUUUGCAGCAGAGUGGAGAUCCAUGCCAAGAGAACACUGAAAACUCGAAAGAAAUAAUAGUUGCGGAGGAGACACCUGAUGGUGCAGGAAGAAAUCCUGAAGAGGACAAGGCUGGUUUCAGAGUGGAUGCCGAUGGCGCUCCUGAUGGUAAACAGAGGAUAAGUGGCCCUUUGUCAACUGAGGAUAAGGUUUCUGAGUCCACUCGAGGAGUUGAGACUGAAGCCGUUGAAGGAUCAGCAUCAAACCAGUCUUUGGAAUUUGAUGGCGAGAACAAGAAAGGUGUGAGUGAAGGAUUGAACAGCGGUGUGAAGAGAGAGCAAAAGCCAUCUCCCAUUACCACUCACUCUGAGUCUGUGAAAGGAAAGGAUGGAGAACUGCUGCAUACUUCUGGUUCUGGUGAAGAUAUGCCUCUGAAAAAUGUUGAUGAAGUGAAGGUUGAAAAGGCUGAUGAGGUAGAUUCCAAGAGUCAUGUGAAUCAAACUGAAGAACAAAAUUCUGAAUGGAAAAGCAAUGCUCCAAUGAUUCGUGAGGAUCGGGUUGUACCACAUUUGGGCUCAGCAGAGAAUGAGGAGAAGGGUAAUGGUAAGGUUGACCACAGAGAAAAUUUGGAAGGUAAGGAAGUUAAAGAGGAGCUUUGUGCUGGCCCAGCUCUUCCUGAGGUAUCAACUGCAUUGCGAGCACAGGAAACAGGGCAGCUUGUGAGGACUGGUGCAGUUAAGUUGACUAUCUCUGAAGGAGACAAAGCACAAGAAUCUACAUCUACCACCAUAGAUGCUGCAUCCUCUGCUGUGGGGGUUUCAGAUAUGGAAGCAAAAGUUGAAUUUGAUUUGAAUGAAGGUUUUGAUGGGGAUGAUGGGAAAUAUGGGGAGUCAAGUAAUUUCAUAGUCCCGGGAUGUUCUGGUGUUGUUCAACAGUUGGUUAGCCCGUUGCCUCUUCCUGUUACUUCUGUGUCCAGUAGCCUUCCUUCUUCAGUAACAGUGGCUGCUGCAGCAAAAGGGCCUUUUGUACCACCGGAGGACCUCCUGAGGAGUAAAGUGGAACUUGGUUGGAAAGGAUCUGCUGCAACAAGUGCAUUUCGCCCAGCUGAACCAAGAAAGAUAUUAGAGAUGCCACUGGGGGUGACUAGCAUUUCUGUUCCUGAUUCAACAUCUGGAAAGCUCGGUCGUCCUCUAUUGGAUAUUGACUUAAAUGUACCAGAUGAGAGAGUCCUAGAGGAUUUGGCUUCUCGAAGCUCUGUUCAGGAUACAGUCACUGCAUCCGACCAUACCAAUAACCGUGAUGGGUCACGCUGUGAAGUGAUGGGUUCUAAAUCUGUCCGCG